Molecule: transfer RNA, 74 nt
Filed under: Gigaspora margarita
Lineage: Eukaryota; Fungi; Glomeromycota; Glomeromycetes; Diversisporales; Gigasporaceae
Also listed under: 1 other name
Description: tRNA-Arg
Rfam family: tRNA
About the family: Transfer RNA (tRNA) molecules are approximately 80 nucleotides in length. Their secondary structure includes four short double-helical elements and three loops (D, anti-codon, and T loops).
Source: RNAcentral
GCAUCUUUAGCUCAAUCGGAUAGAGCAACGGUCUUCGAAACCGUGGGUUAUUGGUUCGAGUCCAAUAGGGUGCU